This 3136-nucleotide long non-coding RNA is filed under the name Brassica rapa (field mustard). Its description in RNAcentral is "long non-coding RNA (BRAP_LNC007035)". Lineage: Eukaryota; Viridiplantae; Streptophyta; Magnoliopsida; Brassicales; Brassicaceae. The record is from RNAcentral.
UCUGGGUCCCUUGGCGAGCCAGAGAGGACGGUGGGUGUGUGAAAACCCAAGCUAGACCUGCCUGCAUCGUGGAUUUUUCCCAAACUGCAUCGGUGAAGCAUCGCGUAGAGCUUCCAUCAUCUGGGUUCGAUUUCAUGUGUUAAGGUAAGGUUUGUACCUUAACCGCUGAAUUCCAUUGUGCCAUUGUCCAUUCGCGUGCUGCGUGUAUGCCUUUUGUAGCUGUUUCCUGACUCGAUUGAUUUCGAUUCUCAAACAGAAGCUGGUUUCUAGCAGUCCAUAGUGUUCAGCAAAUCCAGAGGAAGAGAUUGCCAGUGAUCCCCGAUGGUGGCCAGCAGACAGCGCUUUCUGAGAUCAUUAGAGCUGUUACAAAAUCAGUUUGGGCAGCUAGGUGAGCUGCUUGAUGAAUGGUAGUCUCCAGCCAGACUUGUCGUGUGAAAGUGCAUUCUAGAAAGAUGUGAGUGGUUGUUUCAUCUUUCUGCAUCUCACACAUUGUGUGUUAUUAAUAAUGAGGGGACUUCAAUUAAGAUCUUUUGUUUUAAUAGUCUAGAUAAUAUAUAUAUAUAUAUAUAUUAUUUUAGGAAAAUAUUUAAGAAUCGUUGGAUAAUUACAAAUAAUUUCCAUAAAUAUUUUUUUAAAUUUAAAUAUAGUGGCAUUGCUGUAAAUAUUAAAACAUACCAAGGGGACCUAAAAAAAUCUUGUAUUUUAAUAGUAUGUAUGUAUAUAUAUGUAUAUAUUUAUUUUUAAUGAGAUGUGAAUAGGUUCAAACUUAAACGACAACUUUUCAAGUAGAUAAAAAAUAAGACUCUAAAUUAAUAAAAUAGAUGUGUUUUAAUAGUAUAGAUAAGUAAAUUAGAUUAUUUAAUAUGCUUUUAAUUACAUUACUCUAGAAUCUAAUCUAAAAUGGUAGUAUUUAAUUAACUCCACUAAACCAUUCAAAAAAUCACCAAAAUGUUUCUAAAACUCACAAUUUAAAUCUUUUCUUUUAUGAUGUCAAAAAAUAAAAUCCCAAUAACAGUAGAUAGCAGAAUAUUUUUAUCAAUGACAACAGUGAACUUUAAAAAGUAUUUGAAAUUCAUGUGAUUUUUUAUUUUAAUACAAAUCAAUUACAACUCUCAAUUGAAUAUAUCUUUUUAGAGUGUUUUGUAAGAACUUUUAGUUAAAAUAAAAUAAAAAAUCUAAAUCUUAUAGGAGUAUCCCCUUAAUAUUAAAGUAUGAGCAUUCUUAGAGAGUAACCUUAUGCUCAUGUGUUAUUAACAAAUAUGUCAUUUUCUAUGCGGCAACACCAUAUUCAUUCUCACAUUCUCUAGGUAAAGUCAUCUCCUUACUAAAUUUAUUACAUAUUUUGCCACUACUCAUUAAUUGGUGUUUAACAUAAUGUUUUAAUCAUACAUAAUGUUUUAAUCAUAUUAAUUGGUAAUUAGCAAUUUAAAACCAAUUCGAGAUAAGAACUCUCGCCUUAACGAUUUAAAUCAUGUUUGGGACAAGAACUACGCCUUAACGUAUGUUGUAAUAAUUUAACGUUUAAUUUAAUGUUACUUUCGUGACAUAUCUAAUAAUCACAACAUAUUGCCGUCUACUCACGCAUGAAACAUGUAUAUCAAAACGGGUUAUCUAAAUUGGUUUUCAUAUCACAUAGAAAAUAUUUGAUCAAAACCGGUUAUUUAAAAGGUACACACAUGAAAAGAUCUGUGCAAAAAUGUUUGAAUGUAACUAUGGGUCUGAAAAGGUUUAUGAUUAUACUCGAUAUCAAAGCCAGUUUAAAAAAUGUUUGAAUGUAACUAUGUGUCUGAAAAGGUUUAUGAUCAUACUCGAUAUCAAAACCGGUUUAAAAACUUCAUAAGGCAAUCAUGUCAAUUAUUGCCAAUUCAUGUAGACAUAAAAAAAGAGAGUGAUUGAUUUAAAAUUUAAUUGUAGCAACCAAAUUUAAUGAUGUGAUCCUAGGUGAUAACUGACUGAUUUAAAGUCAGUUUACAUAUUUCCAAAAUUGAUAUCACGUUUUUUACCAAAAAAAAUUGAUAUCACGUGACAUAAUGAAUCACCUUGAGCAAGGUGAAAUUCUUUCAUCAUGAAUUUACUCAUUUUAAUUUAAGUCUGCUUACAUAUUUUCAAAACGGAUUGAUUUAAAACUAAAUAUCGUUAACCAGAUUAACUCUUUGUUUCCUAUUAUUCCAUGUGAUUUGACGAGCAACGAAUAAAGUAAGUUCUCAAAAUUCCAUAUUAAUUUAAUGCAUUAAGUAUAUUUUGAAUGUAGAAUUCAUGUUCACCGUAUUCGGUGAAACCCAACAAAUCUAUUAUAUUCUUGCAAAAGAAGAUGAAAACAAUAUAUCAGCGUUAACAUUGGUUCACCUUAGUACACAUCCAGAUCAAUUAAGAAAUAUAAAUAAGGAAGUUAAAAUAUUAUUUUUUCCAAUUAGCUUCAACGAUUUUAUUACCUUUUGAUUGUACAUAAUAACUCUGAAUUAAUGAUUAACGUUAUUGAUUCGACGAGCAAGGAAUAAGGUACGUUCUCAAAAUUCCAUAUUAAUUAUUGUUACAAAAAUUAAAAUAACCGGUUAGAUAUGCAAGUAUACCCUAGACCCGUCCAUUGCAUCUAUAAAUACAUGGUCUUAUAGCUAUAUCUCCUCAUCACCGUCCCCUUCUCAAAACAUCUUUACCAAAACUUUUGAGCUCGCACACUACUCAUGGUGGACUUUAACUCUGUAGCCGAUUUGAAACAUUUUAAAACAAUGAGGGAGAGUGAGGUUUAGUAUUGUUUGAUUGUGGAAGCAGGUGGCCUAACCAUUGAAAUGGUUCUCAUUGAUUCUAAUGUUAUUAUUAUUGUUUAUACUAAGCUGAUACUUUGUUAUGUCUCUUUAUAGGAUUGCAAACCAAGAGUUCUGAAGACACUUUUCAGUUGUGGUUUUCUCCAUUUUUUUUUAAAUUUUGUUUCUUUAUAAUUUGCUUUUUUAGUAUAUUAUUAUUCUAUUAUCUAUGUUUUCUUUUUUUUAUAUAUAUUCAUAAUUUAUAUUAUGAAAAAAAAAUUGCUUGUGUUUUAUUUUAUCAUAAACUCAUAUUAAAUAUAUAUAUAAGUCUUUAUUUACUCUCACAUUUUUUUAAAAUUCAAAUAUAUUUAAAUUACACCAAUAAAUUAAACAAU